AGUGACGGUACGUGCAGAAGAAGCGCCGGCUAACUACGUGCCAGCAGCCGCGGUAAUACGUAGGGCGCAAGCGUUGUCCGGGAAUUAUUGGGCGUAAAGAGCUCGUAGGCGGUUUGUCGCGUCUGCUGUGAAAGCCCGGGGCUUAACCCCGGGUGUGCAGUGGGUACGGGCAGACUUGAGUGCAGUAGGGGAGACUGGAACUCCUGGUGUAGCGGUGAAAUGCGCAGAUAUCAGGAAGAACACCGAUGGCGAAGGCAGGUCUCUGGGCUGUUACUGACGCUGAGGAGCGAAAGCAUGGGGAGCGAACAGGAUUAGAUACCCUGGUAGUCCAUGCCGUAAACGUUGGGCACUAGGUGUGGGGGACAUUCCACGUUUUCCGCGCCGUAGCUAACGCAUUAAGUGCCCCGCCUGGGGAGUACGGCCGCAAGGCUAAAACUCAAAGGAAUUGACGGGGGCCCGCACAAGCGGCGGAGCAUGCGGAUUAAUUCGAUGCAACGCGAAGAACCUUACCAAGGCUUGACAUACACCGGAUCGGCUCAGAGAUGAGUUUUCCUCCUUGUGGGGCUGGUGUACAGGUGGUGCAUGGUUGUCGUCAGCUCGUGUCGUGAGAUGUUGGGUUAAGUCCCGCAACGAGCGCAACCCUCGUUCUAUGUUGCCAGCACGUGAUGGUGGGGACUCAUAGGAGACUGCCGGGGUCAACUCGGAGGAAGGUGGGGAUGACGUCAAAUCAUCAUGCCCCUUAUGUCUUGGGCUUCACGCAUGCUACAAUGGCCAGUACAAUGGGUUGCGAUACCGUGAGGUGGAGCUAAUCCCAAAAAGCUGGUCUCAGUUCGGAUCGUGGUCUGCAACUCGACCACGUGAAGUCGGAGUCGCUAGUAAUCGCAGAUCAGCAACGCUGCGGUGAAUACGUUCCCGGGCCUUGUACACACCGCCCGUCAAGUCACGAAAGUUGGUAACACCCGAAGCCGGUGGCCUAACCCUUGUG
RNAcentral lists this ribosomal RNA (985 nucleotides) under Kocuria rhizophila. Its description in RNAcentral is "bacterial SSU rRNA". It matches the Rfam family "Bacterial small subunit ribosomal RNA", at positions 468 to 1445 of the family's 1533-position model. The record is from RNAcentral. Lineage: Bacteria; Bacillati; Actinomycetota; Actinomycetes; Micrococcales; Micrococcaceae.